This is a long non-coding RNA of Lactuca sativa (garden lettuce), 1095 nucleotides long. RefSeq lists it as uncharacterized. NCBI's taxonomy places the organism in Eukaryota, Viridiplantae, Streptophyta, Magnoliopsida, Asterales, Asteraceae. The record is from RefSeq and is a predicted model, not a curated record.
AGUAGCUUUAGGAUCUCUCACAAUUUGGCCACACCUUUUAUGUUUUUCACAGUUCAACCACAAUAUUUUCUGCACCUCCGUAAUCUGGUCCUUCGUCUACCCUUCAAUCGAUUUAGAUCCUUAUGGUAGCCUUCCCUUCGAUUUCUUCUAAUCGUCUCUUUACACAUUCCUUUGUAAUUGCCACCUACUUUGUUCCAUUGUCUUCAAGUGUGUUUCUAGAGCCGAUCCCAUCAUCUUUCCUUUCUACUCUACCGCUUUCCCCUCCUUUUGUUUUUCGUUUUUAUUUCACCCUCUCCCUAAUGUUAUUUGCUUGGUGGAGAAUCGGAGGGUUCUAAAUGUAGCGAGUGUUUGUGACAGUGUUGACCACCAACGACCUAGCCAGAGACGUCGUAGAGUUUUACUUAUCCCGGCCACCUAAGCAUACCAAAGAACAAGGAAGUAGCAACUUGGCCCAAGCAACGACGGAGAGCAAAGACGUCGAUCGGAGUUUCAUCGCGUCAUCAUCUUCCCAUCAAUCUGCAACCAUCUCCAGUUAAAAGUUACGAACUGCGAUGAGGAAGCAAAAAUGAAGAUUUAUUCAAUUUCCUCCUAAUGUUGUUAUACAUUUACAUCCAUGUGUGUGAAGAGGACUCAUAUAAGAUCAAAGAUCUAGCUGACGACGUUCUUUGGGUGGUGUCUGAUUCUUAUCUUGAUGCUAAGAAAAAAGACUAUUGAUGUUGAGAAGAAAGACAAUCAAGGGGAACCUUUUCAUGAUAGGAAGGUUGUCCCAUAUGAUCGAAAAUACCAUGAGGAAUGGACCAUAAUCAAUGCUCAAGAAUAUGAAAAGUCUCGUCCUCACAACUUUUAUUUUUACAUACUAGAGAUGUUUAGUCCACCACCACCAUGUGCUUUCUCUACGUGUCAGAGCACAUAUUGUGAUGGAUGUGUAAGAAGGUAACACUAUGUUGGAAUGUGAAAAAUUGUAUGAUACAACCGAGUAUUAGUGAUCAUGUAUCACCAGUCUUGUGGUUAUGAUGAACAAAUUGUAAGUUCGAAUGGUAGCAACCAAGUUUUUUGCUUCAAUUCUAAGUCAACAUCAUCAAUUUUUUGAAAUCU